UUUUAGACUCUUAUGUAUUCAAGUCUUCCUUACUUUACUUGGUUUUGACAUUACUUGCUUUUGUUUUGUUUCCUUUAGUAGAUUCUUUCUUAUUUGCAUUGUUGCUGACUCUGUUAGAGUUUGUUAUUCUAUCUCUGUAAUGUGGAUGACUUAUUUUGAUCUUCUAAAAUCACUUAAUUUGAAUUAAGUGAAUUCACUUAAUUUCACCAUUCCUCAAACUUGAUUGUCUUGGUCUUGAGUCUCCUACAUACAAUAUCAUCAAGAAUUUUGGAUAAAAAAUGUCUGCAGAGAGUUGACUCCUAAGAUAUAUAUAACCAGAGCACCCUACCAAGGACCUGCUUCAAUUUCACCCCGCUCAGAGACCAACAAACCUCAGAUGUUCCUAGUCUCUGCUAGGAAUAAGAAAGAAAACUGUGCUACUAGUAUCAGCUGCACAGUGGGAGCUACCUCUGUUCCCAGUGAUCUGCUCUGCAAACAAUCCCAGCAGCUUUCGCCAGAGAAGAAACCAGUCUCCCUGCAGAUUUCACUAGUCUUUGCCCCGCAGUUAUUUAUCUUUGCUGUUGCCUCCUGCAUCAGUCCCUCCUGCUAUCCCACUCCAAGACCAGGACCCUUAAUGGCAGCCAGCCCAGGCCUCGGGAGCUGUGCAUCUGCUAAAAAGCAGCAUCAUACAGUGGAUACAACUGAUAUAAUGGAAAUACAAAGGAUCAUGAGAAGGCUGAACAAUCACACGCCAACACAUUGGACAACCCAGAAGAAACCGAGAAACUCCUAGAAAAGACAACCUACACAGAUAGAAUCAGGAAGAAAUAAAAAAUCUGAACAGACCAAUAACAAGUGAGGACAUUGAAUCAGUAAUUAAAACCACUCACCAAAAAAAAGCUGAGAAACAGACGACUUCACUGGUGAAUUCAGUCAAACUUUUAAAGAAGGAAUGAAUGCCAAUUCUGCUCAAACUCUCCCAAAAACAGAAGAGGAAAGAAAACUAAUAAACUUAUUUUAUAAGACUGCAUUACUCAGAUGCCAAAGCCAGAUGAAGAUCCUAUUAAAAAAAUUAAAAAAAAAAAUAAAACCACAGGCCACCAUCCUUGAUGAAUAUA
Long non-coding RNA from Canis lupus familiaris (dog), 1097 nucleotides. RefSeq lists it as uncharacterized. The transcript is spliced from 2 exons. The record is from RefSeq and is a predicted model, not a curated record. Lineage: Eukaryota; Metazoa; Chordata; Mammalia; Carnivora; Canidae.